Melanaphis sacchari is the source of this 666-nucleotide long non-coding RNA. RefSeq lists it as uncharacterized. The transcript has 3 exons. The record is from RefSeq and is a predicted model, not a curated record. Lineage: Eukaryota; Metazoa; Arthropoda; Insecta; Hemiptera; Aphididae.
AACUUUUAUUGCAGAUACGCCAGUGACAAAUCGCAUAUUUAUCCCAAUAUAUUAAUAUGGUCUCAAAUAUAGAUUCAAAUACACCGUUAAGGACGAUAAGUCAAAUAAAAUUUAAGUGUUAAUUAAUAAAUAAUUAAUAAACUAUGUUUAGGUAACUGCCGAAUGCAUAUUGAGACUUAAUACAAGCAUUUUAUUAUCGGCCUAAACAUUUAAAAGAAGAGUCAUGUACGAAAUCAUUAAAUGAAGUAUGAACUAACUUGAAUGACUCGUCAAUUCAUCAUAGAAGGCCUUUCUGGUAAAAACUUUAAGUAAAAUGUAUAUUGUGCUCAACUGCGCAAGAGAAUAUGGCGUUGAAUUCUACCACGCUGCCGUAACUACGCCAACUUUCUCCACUUUCUGGAGAGAUAAUUAAUUGAAGCUCCUAUUUGCCUAAAUAUGUAUGGAAAUGCUUAAAGUAUAAAAGUUUUUUUACAACAUAGUUCUAUUUAUAAUCAUCGCCGUAUUAAAUGAAUACAUAAUACUUCCAGAAAUUGUUAAUCUCUAGUACGGAAAAAGACUGUUGGUAGAUCGGAGAUCCUCAACAUAUUUUGGAAAAUAUAAAAACAAAAAUAAAACUGUUUCUAAAUGUAUUUGUGUACAACAAUAGACUGUUUGUAAUUUAUACGA